This 506-nucleotide ribosomal RNA is filed under the name uncultured Rikenellaceae bacterium. Its description in RNAcentral is "bacterial SSU rRNA". It matches the Rfam family "Bacterial small subunit ribosomal RNA", at positions 903 to 1382 of the family's 1533-position model. Lineage: Bacteria; Pseudomonadati; Bacteroidota; Bacteroidia; Bacteroidales; Rikenellaceae. The record is from RNAcentral.
UGCGCCUUGCCAGCCCGCUCAGAAACUUAAAGGAAUUGACGGGGCCCGCACAAGCGGAGGAACAUGUGGUUUAAUUCGAUGAUACGCGAGGAACCUUACCUGGGCUAGAACGCAAUCGGAAUCAGGCCGAAAGGCCUGCGCCAGCGAUGGCCGGUUGCGAGGUGCUGCAUGGUUGUCGUCAGCUCGUGCCGUGAGGUGUCGGGUUAAGUCCCAUAACGAGCGCAACCCCUACUGCUAGUUGCCAGCGGGUCAUGCCGGGGACUCUAGCGGAACUGCCAGCGUAAGCUGCGAGGAAGGUGGGGAUGACGUCAAAUCAGCACGGCCCUUACGUCCAGGGCUACACACGUGUUACAAUGGCCAGUACAGAGGGCAGCCACCCCGCGAGGGGGCGCUAAUCCUAAAAGCUGGUCCCAGUUCGGAUCGGAGUCUGCAACCCGACUCCGUGAAGCUGGAUUCGCUAGUAAUCGCGCAUCAGCCACGGCGCGGUGAAUACGUUCCCGGGCCUU